RNAcentral lists this ribosomal RNA (501 nucleotides) under uncultured bacterium. RNAcentral describes it as "partial 16S ribosomal RNA". It matches the Rfam family "Bacterial small subunit ribosomal RNA", at positions 29 to 523 of the family's 1533-position model. The record is from RNAcentral.
AUUGAACGCUGGCGGCAUGCCUUACACAUGCAAGUCGAACGGCAGCACGGGUGCUUGCACCUGGUGGCGAGUGGCGAACGGGUGAGUAAUACAUCGGAACGUACCUUAUCGUGGGGGAUAACGCAGCGAAAGCUGUGCUAAUACCGCAUACGCCCUGAGGGGGAAAGCGGGGGAUCGCAAGACCUCGCGCGAUUAGAGCGGCCGAUGCCUGAUUAGCUAGUUGGUGGGGUAAAAGCCCACCAAGGCGACGAUCAGUAGCUGGGCUGAGAGUACGUGCAGCCAAACUGGGACUGAGACACGGCCCGGACUCCUACGGAAGGCAGCAGUGGGGAAUUUUGGACAAUGGGGGCAACCCUGAUCCAGCAAUGCCGCGUGAGUGAAGAAGGCCUUCGUGUUGUAAAGCUCUUUUGUCAGGGAAGAAACACCGGCUCUAACACAGUCCGGGAAUGACGGUACCUGAAGAAUAAGCACCGGCUAACUACGUGCCAGCCGCCGCCGUAA